UCUCCACCAAAGUUGAUCAUGCUGGAUGACGAGGGUAAACAUAAAGAAAUCAUUAGAAUUGACAACUGGAAACGUGAACAUGUGUUGCAGUUCCUGCGCGAGAAGGUUAAGUCAGCUUCAUACUAACAGAGUGUUUUGGUUCUGUUAAUCUCUCCUUUGAGUUGUCUUUCAUUAAUUUUUACUCCAGUUUGAUAAUCAAAUCUGACACAAGUUACUCUCUUAUUUUCCUCUUUAUAUAU
RNAcentral lists this unclassified non-coding RNA (239 nucleotides) under Hevea brasiliensis (rubber tree). The record is from RNAcentral. Lineage: Eukaryota; Viridiplantae; Streptophyta; Magnoliopsida; Malpighiales; Euphorbiaceae.